Mangifera indica (mango) is the source of this 579-nucleotide long non-coding RNA. RefSeq lists it as uncharacterized. The transcript is spliced from 2 exons. The record is from RefSeq and is a predicted model, not a curated record. Lineage: Eukaryota; Viridiplantae; Streptophyta; Magnoliopsida; Sapindales; Anacardiaceae.
CUAAUCAGAAAUUUCGCCUUCUUGCAAACAUAAUGUCGUGGAUAGAUGAUGUAUCAACAUUACCCCCAUUCUCUCCGUUAUGCUAAGAUUUAAAUUUACACUUCUGCUACUCCCUUCAUGUCCGCUGUCAGAUUAAUUAUUCAAUAUCAUGAAUCUCCUUCAUCUUCUUGUUCCCCAAACCCAGCUGCUGCUACCAGAGUCAGGAGCCAUAGAAUCAAACUACUUCCACACUCAGUGUAUGUUUGAACUUGAAACUACUUUCACAAUAUGGAUGUUACGAUCCAAUAUGAUACAGUUCUAUUUUAUUAAGGUUAUAAUAUGUUGGAGAAGGAAGCUGCGGUAAUCGUCUUGUCGUUUUUGUUGCAGAUCCAGCCGGCAGCCACCGUGCAACAAGCCCUUGCGAACCUGAAUAAUAUCACACUGCUAGCAAGUGAAUAAGGUAAUCUUCAUUUUCCUUAUCGUGUUAGUCUUCUUUAACAAUUUUCUGGAAAAAUGCUUCGUCUCUGCAAAUAGUCCAGUUGUUCAAAAAGAUUCCUCCAAACAAUAAAAAGAAGGCCAAAAGACUUAUUCCCACCUAAA